Molecule: ribosomal RNA, 433 nt
Filed under: uncultured bacterium
Lineage: Bacteria
Description: partial 16S ribosomal RNA
Rfam family: Bacterial small subunit ribosomal RNA
Source: RNAcentral
AACGAACGCUGGCGGCAUGCCUAACACAUGCAAGUCGAACGAGACCUUCGGGUCUAGUGGCGCACGGGUGCGUAACGCGUGGGAACAUGCCCUUAGGUUCGGAAUAACUCCCCGAAAGGGGUGCUAAUACCGGAUAUUAUCUUCGGUCCAAAGGUUUAUCGCCUUUGGAUGGGCCCGCGUUGGAUUAGCUAGUUGGUAGGGUAAAAGCCUACCAAGGCGACGAUCCAUAGCGGGGCUGUGAGGCUCAUCAGCCACACUGGGACUGAGACACGGUCCAGACUACUACGGGAGGCAGCAGUGGGGAAUAUAGGACAGUGGGCGGAAUCCUGAACCAGUACUGCCGGGUGAGUGAUGAAGGCCUGAGGGUUGUAAAGCUCGUUUACCCGGGACGAUAAUGACAGUACCGGGAGAAUAAGCUCCGGCUAACUCCGUG